This 186-nucleotide ribosomal RNA is filed under the name uncultured bacterium. RNAcentral describes it as "partial 16S ribosomal RNA". It matches the Rfam family "Bacterial small subunit ribosomal RNA", at positions 328 to 507 of the family's 1533-position model. The record is from RNAcentral.
GGGCGGGGCCUACGGGAGGCAGCAGUGAGGAAUAUUGCGCAAUGGGGGCAACCCUGACGCAGCGACGCCGCGUGGAUGAUGAAGGCCUUCGGGUUGUAAAAUCCUGUCAGAUGGGAAGAAGUGGUAGUAUUUUAAUACAAUACUACUUUGACGGUACCAUCAAAGGAAGCACCGGCUAACUCCGUG